CGGGGUGACGCACUGUGGUGAACAAGCCCAGCGCAGCGAUCAUGAAUCGAACGUACGCGCAGCUCGAGAGGGUGCCUCGACGUCGUUCGGGACGAAGAGAUCGCAGGUUCGAGUCCUGUCACCCCGACCA
This 130-nucleotide transfer RNA is filed under the name Nakamurella sp. PAMC28650. RNAcentral describes it as "tRNA-Pro". Lineage: Bacteria; Bacillati; Actinomycetota; Actinomycetes; Nakamurellales; Nakamurellaceae. The record is from RNAcentral.